GAGGGCGACUUUAGAAGAAAAUUGAUUCAUCAGCAAGCGGACGUAGUACGCAAGCAAGUGGAAAGGCUAAAGAAAUUAUCGGACAG
This 86-nucleotide ribosomal RNA is filed under the name Karlodinium veneficum. RNAcentral's name for it is "partial Microsporidia small subunit ribosomal RNA". Lineage: Eukaryota; Dinophyceae; Gymnodiniales; Kareniaceae. The record is from RNAcentral.